GCCCCCUAGAUAUCAAAGCCAAAGAGAUUUUAGUGUUCCAGUCUGACGUGCAUGUGUGUCACAGACGUGAGUGUCUGAUAACCUCGUCUUCAGGAUUGCGCAUGAAGAGCGCAGCUGUGCUGACGGCCAGCAACACCUGGAAUUGGUUGUUAUAUUUAAUCUGAUUAUUUCGUCUCAUUUUCACAUUGUGACGUGCGAUGAAGGCUUACGAUGGUGAUGGCACAUAUGGCUAUGCCCGUGGCUUUCCAGUUGUGAGGUUCCUCGCCCUUUUUUUCAUCGUCGCGUUUAACGGCUAUACAUUCAAGAACGACUGCUGUAAUCACUGUAAUUUCAACACGAGGAGAAUAUUGAAUACAUAGCCGGCGAUUUUGGCGUUGUUUGUGAAACUCUUAAAGGCACGUGUUUUAUUAUCGCGCAGCGGUUUCUAUUUUAGUGCGCACCAAGUUACGACUUUCUACGCAUAAAGUGAUUAUUGGUUGUAAAUCACCUGUUCCUUGUCUGAAGGAUCAACGAUGACGGUGUCGUCUUCAGCCACUUUCCAUUGGUUUUUCUCCAUACCAACGUUACCGUGCAUUAUUUACAGAUCCUCUCUUUCUUGGUAC
Daphnia magna is the source of this 602-nucleotide long non-coding RNA. RefSeq lists it as uncharacterized. The record is from RefSeq and is a predicted model, not a curated record. The transcript is spliced from 2 exons. Lineage: Eukaryota; Metazoa; Arthropoda; Branchiopoda; Diplostraca; Daphniidae.